This 309-nucleotide ribosomal RNA is filed under the name Triticum aestivum (bread wheat). RNAcentral describes it as "partial small subunit ribosomal RNA". The record is from RNAcentral. Lineage: Eukaryota; Viridiplantae; Streptophyta; Magnoliopsida; Poales; Poaceae.
AUGAAAGGGAGCAGCCUGGUGUUCGUGGUUGCCCUCUUGUUCGUCGGGAGCCUCGUGUUCGGAGAAUGUCGUCAUGUAAGCUACGAAGACCGUCGUGCCAAUGUAACCGCAAAUGCUACUACCGCGGAUUUGGCAUCAAGCGGGAGCAAAAUCUCAGUGAAUUGGUGCUACAGAAGGGACUGCAACAGUAGAAACAGUCAGUUCUAUUGGCAUCAGUGCUGGUGCUGCCCCUUGUUGCCCGACGAACUGUGCUGGAAACAUGUGGAAGAAUGCCAUGCAAUGUGCCCGACAUGCCAUCCGAAAUGCUAA